GAUGAACGCUGGCGGCGUGCCUAAUACAUGCAAGUCGAGCGAACAGACGAGGAGCUUGCUCCUCUGACGUUAGCGGCGGACGGGUGAGUAACACGUGGAUAACCUACCUAUAAGACUGGGAUAACUUCGGGAAACCGGAGCUAAUACCGGAUAAUAUAUUGAACCGCAUGGUUCAAUAGUGAAAGACGGUUUUGCUGUCACUUAUAGAUGGAUCCGCGCCGCAUUAGCUAGUUGGUAAGGUAACGGCUUACCAAGGCAACGAUGCGUAGCCGACCUGAGAGGGUGAUCGGCCACACUGGAACUGAGACGCGGUCCAGACUCCUACGGGAGGCAGCAGUAGGGAAUCUUCCGCAAUGGGCGAAAGCCUGACGGAGCAACGCCGCGUGAGUGGUGAAGGUCUUCGGAUCGUAAAACUCUGUUAUUAGGGAAGAACAAAUGUGUAAGUAACUAUGCACGUCUUGACGGUACCUAAUCAGAAAGCCACGGCUAACUACGUG
Molecule: ribosomal RNA, 497 nt
Filed under: uncultured bacterium
Lineage: Bacteria
Description: partial 16S ribosomal RNA
Rfam family: Bacterial small subunit ribosomal RNA
Source: RNAcentral